This is a non-coding RNA of Myodes glareolus (Bank vole), 580 nucleotides long. Lineage: Eukaryota; Metazoa; Chordata; Mammalia; Rodentia; Cricetidae. The record is from the annotation of a RefSeq genome assembly.
CCUGCCCUGACCCUGCAGCUCUGGCAGAGGAGCCCAGUCCUGGAUUCCCAGGUCCUCCCAUUCAAUGAUCAGCACUGAGCAAAGAUCACUUACCAUGGAAUUGUGGCUCCUUUGGCUUUUCCUUGCUGCUAUUUUAAGUGGUGGCCAGUGUGAGGUGCAGCUGGUGGAGUCUGGAGGAGGCUUGGUGCAGCCUGGAAAGUCCCUGAAAAUCUCCUGUGCUGCCUCUGGAUUUACCUUCAGUGAUUACUACAUGAGCUGGAUCCGCCAGGCUCCAGGGAAAGGCUUGGAAUGGGUCGCAGAUAUUAGUGGUGAUAGUAGUAACAUCGAAUAUGCUGAUGCCGUGAAAGGCCGAUUCACCAUCUCCAGAGACAAUGCCAAGAACAACGUGUACCUGGAAAUGAGCAGUCUGAGGCUUGAGGACACAGCCAUGUAUUACUGCACUGUAUUCACAGUGAUGCAAAGUUACUGUGAACUCAGACACAAAACCUCCAUGCAGGGAGCUUAUGACCAGCAGGGGGCGCAGAGAGCACACUGGGUCAGGUAAGACCUGUCCAGCAAUACAUAAAAGGCUGGACUGAUG